This 671-nucleotide long non-coding RNA is filed under the name Trifolium pratense (red clover). RNAcentral's name for it is "long non-coding RNA (TPRA_LNC009742)". Lineage: Eukaryota; Viridiplantae; Streptophyta; Magnoliopsida; Fabales; Fabaceae. The record is from RNAcentral.
AAAGUAGUAUUUUGCCGUCCUCUCUACCUUCCAAAUUUCUUGUAUACAUGUAACUCUGCAAUUACAUGGAAAACAUAUGUAUGAUAUGAGCAAUAUAUAAUCAUAUUAUAUACUUAACUAGCAAUUACAAAUAACAGUAACUAGGGAGAAGAAAAAAGCCUUACAGAAAUAAGCCCCCAUAAGCCAAAAAUAUCGACCUUUUCGGGUCAGCCUGAUCCAAGAUAAAAAGAAUUACAACAUAAGUACUAUAUAAUAUAAUUAAUCCGAAAAUGAAAUGAUUAUUGGAAAUUGGGAGGAACUAUUGAAGCUAAUUCGAGAACAUACCUUUUGCACAUAGAACCUGAUUUUAUGAUUAUACUUAGAAAAGAGCAAAAUGUGCAAGGAAUGAACAACAAAAUUAAUUAGUAACUGAAUACCAAAAAAUUAAUUAGUAACUCAAAUUGAUGCAGGCAAACUUUGUCUAUAGCUUCAACAGAAUAAAGAGAAUUUCACAUUGUUCCUUUCAUGUUCAGCUAGCUACAGAGACAUGUAAUUGCAAUGCUACAUCACAUCUCUUCAUAUACAAUAGAAAAACUUUAAUUAAUUCAUUGAUUGAAAAAUACAAGAAACAAAUUAACUAAUUUAGAUUUAGCAUGCAAGGAAUAAGAAAAAAAUCUGAAAAAUAAAAAUAU